This 460-nucleotide ribosomal RNA is filed under the name uncultured bacterium. Its description in RNAcentral is "partial 16S ribosomal RNA". It matches the Rfam family "Bacterial small subunit ribosomal RNA", at positions 338 to 795 of the family's 1533-position model. The record is from RNAcentral.
CCUACGGGGGGCAGCAGUGAGGAAUAUUGGUCAAUGGACGAGAGUCUGAACCAGCCAAGUAGCGUGAAGGAUGACUGCCCUAUGGGUUGUAAACUUCUUUUAUGUGGGAAUAAAAUGUUCCACGUGUGGGAUUUUGUAUGUACCAUAUGAAUAAGGAUCGGCUAACUCCGUGCCAGCAGCCGCGGUAAUACGGAGGAUCCGAGCGUUAUCCGGAUUUAUUGGGUUUAAAGGGAGCGUAGGUGGAUUGUUAAGUCAGUUGUGAAAGUUUGCGGCUCAACCGUAAAAUUGCAGUUGAAACUGGCAGUCUUGAGUACAGUAGAGGUGGGCGGAAUUCGUGGUGUAGCGGUGAAAUGCUUAGAUAUCACGAAGAACUCCGAUUGCGAAGGCAGUUCACUGGACUGCAACUGACACUGAGGCUCGAAAGUGUGGGUAUCAAACAGGAUUAGAUACCCUAGUAGUC